AUGAGUCAUCAUGAUGGCAUCAACAUCCCUGAUGGCAAGUUCUACUUAGGAAAUGUUAGUUAUGCAUGUCGGCCUGGUGUUCUUCCACCCUUUAGGAAAACCAGGUACCAUCUGAACGAGUUCUCUGGUAGGAACUAUCCUAGGACUCCUCACGAGUUGUUCAAUCUCACACACUCCAACCUUAGAGUUCUGGUUGAGAGGGCAUUUGGAGCUCUGAAGAAUAGGUUCAAGAUCCUGGAUCAUAAGCCAUUCCACCCUUACCGUACCCAGGUCAAGCAGAAGAAGAGGAAGAGGAAGAGGAAGAGGAAGGAGGAAGAGGAAGAGGAAGAGGAAGAGGAAGAGGAAGAGGAAGAGGAAGAGGAAGAGGAAGACGAAGACGAAGACGAAGAGGAAGACGAAGACGAAGACGAAGAGGAAGACGAAGAUGAAGACGAAGACGAAGACGAAGACGAAGAAGUCAUGAAGAGGGUGAAUUUCCACCUAGUUGGCAUAAUUGAACUGUCCCCUAUUCAGCCAUAUUGGCUCUCAAUAACUUGUACUGUCAUUUGCUAG
This 552-nucleotide ribosomal RNA is filed under the name Triticum aestivum (bread wheat). RNAcentral's name for it is "partial small subunit ribosomal RNA". Lineage: Eukaryota; Viridiplantae; Streptophyta; Magnoliopsida; Poales; Poaceae. The record is from RNAcentral.